Molecule: transfer RNA, 73 nt
Filed under: Camelus bactrianus (Bactrian camel)
Lineage: Eukaryota; Metazoa; Chordata; Mammalia; Artiodactyla; Camelidae
Also listed under: 2 other names
Rfam family: tRNA
About the family: Transfer RNA (tRNA) molecules are approximately 80 nucleotides in length.
Source: Rfam by way of RNAcentral
GACGGUGUGGCUUAAGUGGUAGAGCAUGUGCUUAGCAUGCAUGAGGUCCUGGGUUCAAUCCCCAGUACCUCCA